AACGAACGCUGGCGGCGCGCCUAAUACAUGCAAGUCGAGCGAGAAGACGUAGCAAUACGUUUGUAAAGCGGCGAACGGGUGAGGAAUACAUGGGUAACCUACCCUCGAGUGGGGAAUAACUAGCCGAAAGGUUAGCUAAUACCGCGUACGCUCCUUGGACUUCGGUUCAGGGAGGAAAGCGAUACCGUGGGUAUCGCGCUCUUGGAUGGGCUCAUGUCCUAUCAGCUUGUUGGUGAGGUAACGGCUCACCAAGGCUUCGACGGGUAGCUGGUCUGAGAGGACGAUCAGCCACACUGGGCACUGCGACACGGGCCAGACUCCUACGGGAGGCAGCAGUAAGGAAUAUUGCGCAAUGGCCGAAAGGCUGACGCAGCGACGCCGCGUGCGGGAGGAAGCUCGUUCGGGGUGUAAACCGCUGUUGCCCCGGAACGAAUGUCAGCUUUCGAGCUGAUUGACGGUACCGGGUGAGG
RNAcentral lists this ribosomal RNA (470 nucleotides) under uncultured bacterium. Its description in RNAcentral is "bacterial SSU rRNA". It matches the Rfam family "Bacterial small subunit ribosomal RNA", at positions 29 to 487 of the family's 1533-position model. The record is from RNAcentral.